AAGCACCGGCUAACUCUGUGCCAGCAGCCGCGGUAAGACAGAGGGUGCAAGCGUUGUUCGGAUUGACUGGGCGUAAAGGGCGUGUAGGCGGUUGCCCAAGUCCGAUGUGAAAGCCCGAGGCUUAGCCUCGGAAGUGCAUCGGAAACUAGGCAGCUGGAGCGCGAUAGAGGAGGGUAGAAUUCCUGGUGUAGCGGUGAAAUGCGUAGAUAUCAGGAGGAAUACCGGCGGCGAAGGCGGCCCUCUGGAUCGUUGCUGACGCUGAGACGCGAAAGCGUGGGGAGCAAACAGGAUUAGAUACCCUGGUAGUCCACGCUGUAAACGAUGGGUACUAGGUGUUCGGGGUAUUGACCCCCUGAGUGCCGCAGUUAACGCAUUAAGUACCCCGCCUGGGGACUACGGCCGCAAGAUUA
This 410-nucleotide ribosomal RNA is filed under the name uncultured bacterium. Its description in RNAcentral is "bacterial SSU rRNA". It matches the Rfam family "Bacterial small subunit ribosomal RNA", at positions 488 to 896 of the family's 1533-position model. The record is from RNAcentral.